Molecule: long non-coding RNA, 462 nt
Filed under: Helianthus annuus (common sunflower)
Lineage: Eukaryota; Viridiplantae; Streptophyta; Magnoliopsida; Asterales; Asteraceae
Source: RNAcentral
AAGGUGGCGCAGCCCGGUGCGGCCACGUGGCCCAACACCCGGCGAGUCUAUAAGCUGAACCAGCCAAGCUACGCAUUGACCUGGGGUCAACGCGGGCCGCGUAGGCCCUGCUCUUGUGUUACGCGGGCCGCGACAAGGUCAAGAUCAGCACCUAUAUAUAGAAUGCAUCGGAUCUUCAGCUUUAUACGCGGGUAUAAUACCCCAAUAAUUAGCGAAGCUCUGCCUCGUUAUUAUAACCAGGGAAUCACAAAGGAAAGCCCUAUAAUAGCAAUGUAACUUAGUGUGAAACCAAUAAAAGCCGGCUGGAGAGCACUGAAGGCUUGGAAAAGUGGCAAUAAAGUUACCUCAAAUAAAAAUAGAUGCUUUUAUUAUAUAAAAUAGGAUUUCUUCCUAUGAAAAUGUGUGUACUGCAAACGUGGGUUUUUCCCAUGUAUUUGUAUUUAUAAAAUAUGGUGGUUUACU